GAAUAUUGGUCAAUGGGCGCAAGCCUGAACCAGCCAUGCCGCGUGAAGGAUGAAGGCCUUCUGGGUUGUAAACUUCUUUUAUUGGGGAAGAAAAUUACGGUUUCUACUGUAACCGACGGUACCCAAGGAAUAAGCACCGGCUAACUCCGUGCCAGCAGCCGCGGUAAUACGGAGGGUGCAAGCGUUAUCCGGAUUCACUGGGUUUAAAGGGUGUGUAGGCGGGCUGUUAAGUCAGUGGUGAAAUCUCCGGGCUCAACCCGGAAACUGCCAUUGAUACUAUCAGUCUUGAAUCUUGUUGAGGUGGGCGGAAUAUGUCAUGUAGCGGUGAAAUGCUUAGAUAUGACAUAGAACACCGAUUGCGAAGGCAGCUCACUAAGCAAGUAUUGACGCUGAGGCACGAAAGCGUGGGGAUCAAA
Molecule: ribosomal RNA, 416 nt
Filed under: uncultured bacterium
Lineage: Bacteria
Description: bacterial SSU rRNA
Rfam family: Bacterial small subunit ribosomal RNA
Source: RNAcentral